RNAcentral lists this non-coding RNA (21 nucleotides) under Danio rerio (zebrafish). Its record names the gene dre-miR-133a-2-5p. RNAcentral also lists the same sequence under 4 other names. The record is from miRBase by way of RNAcentral. Lineage: Eukaryota; Metazoa; Chordata; Actinopteri; Cypriniformes; Danionidae.
AGCUGGUAAAAUGGAACCAAA